UACGGAGGGAGCUAGCGUUAUUCGGAAUUACUGGGCGUAAAGCGUACGUAGGCGGCUUUGCAAGUUAGAGGUGAAAGCCUGGAGCUCAACUCCAGAACUGCCUUUAAAACUGCAUCGCUUGAAUCCAGGAGAGGUGAGUGGAAUUCCGAGUGUAGAGGUGAAAUUCGUAGAUAUUCGGAAGAACACCAGUGGCGAAGGCGGCUCACUGGACUGGGUAUUGACGCUGAGGUACGAAAAGCGUGGGGAGCAAACAGG
This 255-nucleotide ribosomal RNA is filed under the name uncultured bacterium. RNAcentral describes it as "partial 16S ribosomal RNA". It matches the Rfam family "Bacterial small subunit ribosomal RNA", at positions 524 to 776 of the family's 1533-position model. The record is from RNAcentral.